GUGUUUGUUUCAAUGACAUAUAUAUUAAUUUUAGAACAGAGCAGAGAUGACUAGUGUGAAUCCUGUACAAGGAUUACAUAAAAAUUUAUGAGAGGUUCCACAUUUUU
Non-coding RNA from Pteropus alecto (black flying fox), 107 nucleotides. NCBI's taxonomy places the organism in Eukaryota, Metazoa, Chordata, Mammalia, Chiroptera, Pteropodidae. The record is from Rfam.